Long non-coding RNA from Neofelis nebulosa (Clouded leopard), 354 nucleotides. RefSeq lists it as uncharacterized. The record is from RefSeq and is a predicted model, not a curated record. Lineage: Eukaryota; Metazoa; Chordata; Mammalia; Carnivora; Felidae. The transcript is spliced from 3 exons.
CAUGAGGAUGAGAGCUGCUUUGUUCUAUCUGAUGGCUACUUUUCUGGUUCUGUGAUUUGGGGAAGAAGGGGAACAGAUUUCACAAAAUCCCCUUCAUGUCCUUACUUAGAAUGAGGCAAAGAAGAAAAGUACCACAUGUACUGUCCUGGGGCAGCACACUCAUGGGGCAACAAAGGCACAAAAUGGGGCCUGUAGAGGAUCCAAUGGUUGGCCAAGUGGCAAAGGAUUCAACUCUCUGUGAGGAUCUUAGGGGCACAGGCUCAGUGACGGCAAGACGGCAGAUAAUUUCACAGUGAGUAGCGCCUAGUGGGAGCUUUGGACAUGAUUUCUCUCUGGCUACCAGAACUCAUUCUA